RNAcentral lists this ribosomal RNA (395 nucleotides) under uncultured bacterium. Its description in RNAcentral is "partial 16S ribosomal RNA". It matches the Rfam family "Bacterial small subunit ribosomal RNA", at positions 338 to 730 of the family's 1533-position model. The record is from RNAcentral.
CCUACGGGGGGCAGCAGUGAGGAAUAUUGGUCAAUGGGCGCGAGCCUGAACCAGCCAAGUAGCGUGAAGGAUGACUGCCCUACGGGUUGUAAACUUCUUUUAUAAAGGAAUAAAGUGAGGCACGUGUGCCUUUUUGUAUGUAUUUUAUGAAUAAGGAUCGGCUAACUCCGUGCCAGCAGCCGCGGUAAUACGGAGGAUCCGAGCGUUAUCCGGAUUUAUUGGGUUUAAAGGGAGCGUAGAUGGGUUGUUAAGUCAGUUGUGAAAGUUUGCGGCUCAACCGUAAAAUUGCAAUUGAUACUGGCAGCCUUGAGUACAGUAGAGGUAGGCGGAAUUCGCGGUGUAGCGGUGAAAUGCUUAGAUAUCGCGAAGAACUCCGAUUGCGAAGGCAGCAUACU